AUUGAACGCUGGCGGCAUGCUUUACACAUGCAAGUCGAACGGCAGCGCGGGCUUCGGCCUGGCGGCGAGUGGCGAACGGGUGAGUAAUACAUCGGAACGUGCCCAGUAGUGGGGGAUAGCUCGGCGAAAGCCGGAUUAAUACCGCAUACGACCCGAGGGUGAAAGCGGGGGAUCUUCGGACCUCGCGCUAUUGGAGCGGCCGAUGGCAGAUUAGCUAGUUGGUGGGGUAAAGGCCUACCAAGGCGACGAUCUGUAGCUGGUCUGAGAGGACGACCAGCCACACUGGGACUGAGACACGGCCCAGACUCCUACGGGAGGCAGCAGUGGGGAAUUUUGGACAAUGGGCGAAAGCCUGAUCCAGCAAUGCCGCGUGUGUGAUGAAGGCCUUCGGGUUGUAAAGCACUUUUGGCGGGAACGAAAAGGACUGUGCCAAUACCACGGUUCGAUGACGGUACCCGCAGAAUAAGCACCGGCUAACUACGU
This 483-nucleotide ribosomal RNA is filed under the name uncultured bacterium. RNAcentral describes it as "partial 16S ribosomal RNA". It matches the Rfam family "Bacterial small subunit ribosomal RNA", at positions 29 to 506 of the family's 1533-position model. The record is from RNAcentral.